UUUUGAGGUUGGGUUACCUUCCAUCCUGCGGAUACGGCAAGUUCCUGAGCAGCCAUUUUAAUCAAGCCCUACCCAGAAACCAAGCAUCAGCUCGCCACCGAGUGAGAUUUACUUCCUUUAACUAGCAAUGUUGUGAAACCAACACAAACUUCAAGAUUCUACCCAACUCCAACGCCUACUCUUCCUCUCCCCAAAUCACAGUCCUAAGGGAUUCAGUCUCCCACAGUAUUCUCGGCCCUUAGGGAAGACAUCUUGGAGACAUGGAGGAUUUCUUCUUUGUCAUGGAGAACAACACCAUCAUCACAAUGGGACAGCAAUUUAGCAGCAUUGCUGGAAAGCAGACUGUAGGUUCAGAACUACUGAAUGCAAAGAUGAGGACUUUUCAAGGAAAGACUGAUCUAAGAGAGAAGACUGAACAGAAUCAUCCUCUGGACUUCUGGGACUAGAAUAGAAGAAAUCAGGACUCUCUGAGGACCUUCAUUGCUCUUUCAAAGCACACAGGGAAAGACCUUCGGAAGACGUAUGAUCUUCAACUCCAAGAAAGACUGUCACAGUGAUAUAAUUCACUGCUGCAUCAAAGAGACGAAAGAUAUUGUAGAUCUGAGAUUUCAAUGAAUGUAGACGACCAAAAGCAAAAAUACAACAAAAUUCCUGUAAAUCUUUCAGGAGGAGAAGAAGUGUUGAUUUCCCGAUGAUAUUUCAGAAGGACUGUUAACUUUCUGUCGGCAGUGGUGAGAGCCAUACUUCACUCUGUGUGAGGCUGCUCCACUCUGGGCAAUGGGAAGAAUUGCUGAUAUAGAGACAAGACACCACCACCUUCUGUAAUGGGACAAAUUUCAACGAUAAAAUGAAGACGAAUUUCCUGUAGACAAAUAAAUCAGAGGCAAGAUUGCUGUACAGGAUUCUGCAGCUUCAGAAGUGCUGAAGAUUCUACCAUAGCUUCUGUGCUGACAUACAGCUCGAGAGGGAAGAAGACUUUCAGCUGGGACUGAUGUUAUCGAAGCCUUUAACUUGAACUGCAACUGAUCAAUAGUCUGGAUUAAGAUUAUUAACUUCCCCUAGGAACUCUGUAAUUUUGUCUUUAUCUUGAUUUUCAAUUUCUUGGAUGGAGUGCGUUUCAUAAAUAUUUUCUUGUCUUCUACCUUGAUUAAAGUUGCUGGAUUUGCAGAAACA
Carcharodon carcharias (great white shark) is the source of this 1173-nucleotide long non-coding RNA. RefSeq lists it as uncharacterized. The record is from RefSeq and is a predicted model, not a curated record. NCBI's taxonomy places the organism in Eukaryota, Metazoa, Chordata, Chondrichthyes, Lamniformes, Lamnidae. The transcript has 2 exons.